Sycon ciliatum is the source of this 1716-nucleotide long non-coding RNA. RefSeq lists it as uncharacterized. The record is from RefSeq and is a predicted model, not a curated record. NCBI's taxonomy places the organism in Eukaryota, Metazoa, Porifera, Calcarea, Leucosolenida, Sycettidae. The transcript is spliced from 2 exons.
GCUGCAGCCUGCACUGGCUGCAGCAGAUCUAGCUGCUCGCUCUUCUGCGCCUGUGCAUUCCAGCUGUCAAGUCAAUACUGACUCCUCACGAUAACCCGCGCGGCAUCACACUGAUCACGCCAUCAGUCCAGGUCCUGGCAGCAAGCAAUCGUGUUGUUGUUCUCUCUGUUUAAUACGGUAGCUGCAGUAAGAAACGGUUGUGUUGCAGUCAUUUCGCUAAGUUUCAGUCACGUUACGCUAGCUGCGGGCUUUUUUUGCCUGAGCCUGUAAUUUUCUAGGACGCACAGUCAAAGGAAAGCAGAGAGUCGUUGCCUACCGUCUCAUGAUACGAUCAACAGAUCAUCUCGGCAUUGCAUGCUAUGCGGUGAAACUUGCAUCGAAACUGGACUGAACCCGCGGCGAUCGUAAGAUAUCAACUUGUGACUGACUUGAGUCUUAGCGAAAUGACUGAUACGAGAACCCACGCCACAUAACCCCUCCUUCCUCUUGCUGCGCGAAUCGUUUUACUGCUGCUACUACUGCUACAAGUACUGUACAUGCUGCCAGUUUUGCACACAUCCGUUGACCAUAUGGAUCCUGCACAGUGUAGAGCAACUGGCAUUGGCCGAGGUCGCAAGCCCAGCGGGAAGCAGAUGAGCGUGAAGGCUGCCCGUAUCCUGGCCUUCCUUCGGUGGAACGAGAAACUCAAGCUCUUGUCUUCAGAAACCAAGCAGCUGCAGUUAUCAAAGGACCAUGGCCAAGCAACUGCACCGAGUAGCAAUGCAGCUGGUGAUAGCAGAGAAGAAAACAAAUCACUGAAAAGGGAAGAGUCUCUUAGUGAAUGGAAACCGUCUUGGAUGGUAGAGGAGCGAACAAAUUGGGCCGAUCUACCCAGUCCUGAGAUUUCACCAGCACACUGGUGUUGAUUCUUCAGUUACAGGUACCUCAAUCACAAUGCAUAGGUCAGUCAUAUGGGCUGCAUUACCUGUGACCCCAUUGGCCCGGCAUAUUCCAGUCCAACAUGCUGCACUGCAUCAGAUUAGCCAUAUUCCAGCUCAUCAACCACUAUCAACCACUAUCAACCACUAUCAACUAUCUUGAAGAUUAUUAGUUACAAUGCAUCUUGACGACCGUCCGAUAUACUCGUACAAAUCUGUACACAUGUACAUGUACAUACUGAGUAUGUGUCUAGGCAAACAGGAUACGUCGCGUCUCUUUACAUCACUCCUAGACUGUUUACUGCACAGUAUAGUCUGUUCUAUAAUAGACUGUUCUAUGUGGCAAUUCGUGACCUGUUUUUUAUUGUAUGCCACAGGUAGCUGCGGUGUUAUUAGACUGUCAAUGUCCAUGGUAGCCAGUAUUAUUCUCCGUCCUGUGUGCUAUCCUCUUGAACAGCAUCUACUCUUGUAAAUAGAUGUAAUCGAUUGGAUUGCAUACUAUCACCUUUCAAAAUGCUGUAUCUCCUAUCACUACACGGUAGUACACCUGCCCCAGUCUCAAUUCUCAAUUCACAUUCAACCAUAGUAAUGCCAGUAUCGGCUAAUUAUUUUCUUUCUGCAAUUAACUUACGGCUUGUACUGCUUGUAUCACACUGUUUCUAUUAUAAUUUAUAUAAUUUUAACAGGACAACUGGAUUUGACACUUGGACUACUGGUUCGAAUCUUUCUCCGCUGUUUGUCUUCACUAUUCCCUCCAUGAUAUUCACUACAAAUUGUUGCACAAUAUUCAUUUGUUUGA